CCUACGGGGGGCAGCAGUGGGGAAUAUUGGACAAUGGGCGAAAGCCUGAUCCAGCCAUGCCGCGUGUGUGAAGAAGGCCUUCGGGUUGUAAAGCACUUUCAGUGGGGAAGAAAGCCUUGGGGCUAAUACCCUCGAGGAAGGACAUCACCCACAGAAGAAGCACCGGCUAACUCCGUGCCAGCAGCCGCGGUAAUACGGAGGGUGCGAGCGUUAAUCGGAAUUACUGGGCGUAAAGCGCGCGUAGGCGGUCUGAUAAGCCGGUUGUGAAAGCCCCGGGCUCAACCUGGGAACGGCAUCCGGAACUGUCAGGCUAGAGUGCAGGAGAGGAAGGUAGAAUUCCCGGUGUAGCGGUGAAAUGCUUAGAGAUCGGGAGGAAUACCAGUGGCGAAGGCGGCCUUCUGGACUGACACUGACGCUGAGGUGCGAAAGCGUGGGUAGCAAACAGGAUUAGAUACCCGUGUAGUC
Molecule: ribosomal RNA, 465 nt
Filed under: Vreelandella stevensii
Lineage: Bacteria; Pseudomonadati; Pseudomonadota; Gammaproteobacteria; Oceanospirillales; Halomonadaceae
Description: partial 16S ribosomal RNA
Rfam family: Bacterial small subunit ribosomal RNA
Source: RNAcentral